RNAcentral lists this ribosomal RNA (289 nucleotides) under uncultured bacterium. Its description in RNAcentral is "partial 16S ribosomal RNA". It matches the Rfam family "Bacterial small subunit ribosomal RNA", at positions 29 to 339 of the family's 1533-position model. The record is from RNAcentral.
AACGAACGCUGGCGGCAUGCCUAACACAUGCAAGUCGAACGGGUGGUAGCAAUACCACCAGUGGCAGACGGGUGCGUAACACGUGGGAACCUGCCCAGAGGUUCGGAAUAGCUGCGGGAAACUGCAGGUAAUACCGAAUGUUGCCUGAGGGCUAAAGGAGCAAUUCGCCUUUGGAGGGCCGCGUCGGAGUUAGCUAGUUGGUGGGUAACGGCGUCACCAAGGCGACGAUCCGUAGCUGGUCUGAGAGGAUGGCCAGCCACACCUGGAACUGAGACACGGUCCAGACUCC